GGCCAAGUGGUACCUUCUCUUAUUGAGUCAGGCUAUAGUGGUUGCUUUGUGUGUGAUGAGACUAUCUUUGUUAUGUGACUAAAGAUACUCCUAUUUCAAUUGUUAAAGGUAGGGGUUCUACUAGAGGUGUGAGGGGCAGAGGUAGUGGAGCCUAUGGUGGUAGUCGUGGGGCUACUCAGCUAGUUGAUGGUCAUUGACAAUGCUAUGCUAUCUAGCCAAACUUGAGGUAGAGGCUUUAGAUAUUGUGAUCACAAGUAUCAUCUAGUUUGUUUUAGAUUUGCAUCUGUGUUAUUUGAUCCCUAGUCG
This 306-nucleotide long non-coding RNA is filed under the name Capsicum annuum. RNAcentral's name for it is "long non-coding RNA (CANN_LNC010065)". Lineage: Eukaryota; Viridiplantae; Streptophyta; Magnoliopsida; Solanales; Solanaceae. The record is from RNAcentral.